UACGUAGGGUGCGAGCGUUAAUCGGAAUUACUGGGCGUAAAGCGUGCGCAGGCGGUUCGCUGUGUCCUGUGUGAAAGCCCCGGGCUUAACCUGGGAAUGGCAUGGGAAACUGGCGGGCUGGAGUGUGGCAGAGGGGGGUGGAAUUCCGCGUGUAGCAGUGAAAUGCGUAGAGAUGCGGAGGAACACCGAUGGCGAAGGCAGCCCCCUGGGCUAACACUGACGCUCAGGCACGAAAGCGUGGGGAGCGAACCGG
Molecule: ribosomal RNA, 253 nt
Filed under: uncultured bacterium
Lineage: Bacteria
Description: partial 16S ribosomal RNA
Rfam family: Bacterial small subunit ribosomal RNA
Source: RNAcentral